UCAAAAACAGUUUUCUGAAAACACUAACUUUGGAAGUUAGAGGAUGGGUUUGCCCAUUUUUGAA
RNAcentral lists this transfer RNA (64 nucleotides) under Ellobium chinense. RNAcentral's name for it is "tRNA-Pro". The record is from RNAcentral. Lineage: Eukaryota; Metazoa; Mollusca; Gastropoda; Ellobiida; Ellobiidae.